AUGUUUUGGGCAUUUGGACAGUGCUUACAGGCCUUCCGUACUUGUCGCCCUGUGCUAUGCAUCAAGGGCACACCUCUAUGCGGGAAAUAUCAAGGGAUGCUGCUUACUGCUGUAGCAUCAGAUGCUAAUGGUUUCUCCUUUCCAGUAGCAUGUGCUGUCGUUGAGGGCGAGACCAAGGAAAGCUGGUUGUGGUUUCUUAGGAAUUUGGAGCGAGCAGUGGUGCAUCAGUCUGUCGUGUGCAUUAUACACGACUACAAAAGGGAUUUGAUCAAUGCUGUGAAGGACCUUCUGAAUUCCCGUGAACGACAGUGGUGUAGAGCAGAAAGUCGGUGGUGCAUGGAAGACUUUGCUGAAAACUUCUUUGCGUAUUUUGGUGACAAGAAGCUUGUGAUGAUGUUCAAGAAACUUUGCCAGCAGAAGUGA
RNAcentral lists this ribosomal RNA (423 nucleotides) under Triticum aestivum (bread wheat). RNAcentral's name for it is "partial small subunit ribosomal RNA". The record is from RNAcentral. Lineage: Eukaryota; Viridiplantae; Streptophyta; Magnoliopsida; Poales; Poaceae.